Molecule: ribosomal RNA, 254 nt
Filed under: uncultured bacterium
Lineage: Bacteria
Description: partial 16S ribosomal RNA
Rfam family: Bacterial small subunit ribosomal RNA
Source: RNAcentral
UACGUGGGAGGGCUAGCGUUGUCCGGAAUCAUUGGGCGUAAAGCGCGCGUAGGCGGCCCGGUAAGUCCGCUGUGAAAGUCAAAGGCUCAACCUUUGAAUGUCAGCGGAUACUGCCGGGCUAGAGUCCGGAAGAGGCGAGUGGAACUCCUGGUGUAGCGGUGGAAUGCGCAGAUAUCAGGAAGAACACCAACGGCGAAGGCAGCUCGCUGGGACGGAACUGACGCUAAGGCGCGAAAGCGUGGGGAGCGAACAGG